This 280-nucleotide ribosomal RNA is filed under the name uncultured bacterium. Its description in RNAcentral is "partial 16S ribosomal RNA". It matches the Rfam family "Bacterial small subunit ribosomal RNA", at positions 506 to 784 of the family's 1533-position model. The record is from RNAcentral.
UGCCAGCCGCCGCGGUAACACGUAGGGACCGAGCGUUGUCCGGAUUUAUUGGGCGUAAAGAGCUCGUAGGCGGUUCGGUAAGUCAGGUGUGAAAGCUCGAGGCUCAACCUCGAGAUGCCACCUGAUACUGCUGUGACUUGAGUCCGGUAGAGGAGUGUGGAAUUCCUGGUGUAGCGGUGAAAUGCGCAGAUAUCAGGAGGAACACCAAUUGCGAAGGCAGCACUCUGGGCCGGUACUGACGCUGAGGAGCGAAAGCGUGGGGAGCGAACAGGAUUAGAUA